CAUUUUCUUGGGUGUUGCCAUAGGUCCGUCUGUAUCUCUAAUAAAACUGUAGAAAGAAGAAGAAGACGAAAGCAGGAAAAAAGGAAAAAGAAAAACAAAAGCAAAAACUAAGAAACAAAGAGGGCAAGUUCAACUUCACCCUCGCAAGCCCGCUCUGGUUUCACUUCGAACCCUAUCCAAGAAUUUCGUCUUAUUUUUCUUUCUGUUCGCUUAAUAGAUAAAACCAAAUAAAAAACUUCCAUUAGAAGAAGAAGAAGAAGAAGAACUUACUUCAGCUUUCUUUUCCUUGUAGCUCGUCUCUCUGACUUGAACUGAAACCCAGAAAGAAAAAACAGGAGAAUCCCAGAAAAGAAAGAAGUAGAGAAAGAAGUAGUAGCCAUGGAUCCAUAUGAUCCAACGAGUGUACUAUUCACGAAAAUUAAGAGUUUAGACCCCGAAAACGUUUCGAAAAUCAUGGGGUAUUUGCUGAUACAUGACCCGGAUAAGAGAGAUUUGAUGCGUCUGGCGUUUGGUCCGGAGACACUUCUACAGUCGUUUGUUUUCAAGGCGAAGACUGACUUGGGACUUCUUUCGAGCACCUUAGCUUCAACGGUUACGCCACCUUCUCCAUCUCCGUUAAACCCCAUAUCAAGACCCAGUACCAGUAGCAGUACCAGUGCUGGAAACCCAUUGACACACACUUCUCCGGGGGUUAUAGGUGAUGGGUUUUUGGACUCGUCAAGCUCCUGGUCAGUUAACAGUCCAAAGUCGAGUCCUUUUCUUUCUUACGAUAAUAUUCGUGCUGGUGGGUCAGUAUUGGGUCCGCCGAAGACCGGCGGGUCUGCUGACGAUACCGGCGGCGCUGGUGAUUGUCUCGACGAGCAUAGGAUGAACGAUUAUCUUUCGUUUCUUAACGACUCGUCCUCAAAGACUGAGGAAGUUGUGGAUCCAAGUUCUCAUUUUGGUUACUCAUUGAACAACGGAGACGCUCAGCUGCACAGGAGGAGUUUCUCUGCGAGUGAUGCGUGUUCCGGUUCGGAGGAAGGAGGGUUUGAUAUGGGCUAUAAGCAUUGCCUGUAUUACAGCAGAGGGUUCUGCAAAAAUGGGGAUAACUGCAAGUUCUUGCAUGGUGGUUUUGGGGAUAAUGUGGAUGUGAAUGAGGGUUUAUUGUGUUCGCCGGGUAAAUUGGAGUAUCUGUAUCAGCAGUCGCAUGAGGAUAUAAUGAGACUUAGGGCCUCUCAGCAGCAAAGAUUGGCUGCAGCCCAGUUCAUGGCCGGAGUCUCACAGUUUCCAUUUGGAAAGGGCUUGAAUUUCCUCUUGCAUCCACAAAAUGACCAUAGGGUCCCAGCAUUGAUGAUGUGUGAAGAGGGUUACCGGCAUGGUGCAGGUCGGUUCGCUAGGAAUGAUGUUUUGGGAAUGGUAUUGGCAGAUAGGUCUAACUCUGCUUCCAGACAGAUCUACUUGACAUUUCCGGCUGAAAGCACUUUCAAAGAUGAAGAUGUUUCGAAUUACUUCAGCAUUUUUGGACCAGUGCAAGAUGUGAGGAUUCCCUAUCAGCAAAAGAGAAUGUUUGGGUUUGUCACAUUUCAUCACCCGGAGACUGUAAAGCACAUAUUGGCUAGAGGAAACCCUCACUUUAUAUGCGAUUCACGUGUUCUUGUCAAGCCCUACAAGGAAAAGGGAAAAGUCCCAGACAAGAGGCAGCAGCAUUUACAACAACAGCAGAUGGAAAGGGGAAAUUUUUCACCUUCUAGCCCUUUGGGGAUUGAUGCUCGAGAGCCUUAUGAAUUUCAUCUUGGGGCAAAGAUAGCAUGCAACAACACACCGGAGAUGUUGUUGAGAAGAAAAUUAGAGGAGCAGGCUGAUCUUCAGCAAGCCAUUGAACUCCACAGGAGAAGGUUUAUGAAUCUGCAACUUCCUGAAUUGAAACGUGAAUAUAUCCACCAUCACCAAUGCAGUCACUCUGUUGGUUCUCCUCUUUACCCGUCUGCCACUGCCAACCAAAAUGUUCUUCCUUCUGUACGUAUCAACCAAGAAGGCUUAGAAGAAGCCUGCAGUGAUAGCUCAGCUGCAACCGAUCCCACAAUAACUGUUACUGCCAAAGAGCAGAUUCAGGCAGAAGAAAAUUCAGGUCGAGUUAAUGAUAACGAUUGUGGCAAUAGCCAAGAGGGAAGCUUUGUCCAUGAAAAAAAUGAAGGGGGCAGUUUAGAGCAUGUUCUCCCUGAUAACCUCUUCCCUCCCAUGCAAUCCAUCAAAAAUCACCACACUGCUUUGGUCGAAGUGAAGGAGAACACUACAACUUCUUCUACAUCUUCCUCAUCCGGAAAGCCCAUAACUUCCGAUGAAAGGGUUUCUCCGUAGGUUUUUCUUUUCUCCUAAAUGCCAAGGUUUUAAUCAUGGGCAUGAAGUUAUCAAAAUGUAGUUAAUAAAAGAAAGUAGAGAAGCAAACACAGGGAAGAAGAAUGGAGUAGAUGUAUAGGCAGAUUAUAGAAGCAGCUUGGAGUGAAGAGUAGAUCCAGAUGAUUUUGAUGAAUACAAAAUACCGCUAACAGCGAAAAAUGCAUAUGGAAAUACUUAGAAGAUAAGUAAUUUUUCUGAUUAGGGUUUUUUUCCUUCUGUUUUCUGCUUUUUACCCCUCCUCCCAGCUAGGGCUUUUUUCUAUUUUCUACUGUUUAUCCCUCCUCCCAACUAGGGCUUUGUCAUCUCAUCUAUAAAUAUAAACGUUGCUGGAUCC
Molecule: RNA transcript, 2713 nt
Organism: Carica papaya (papaya)
Lineage: Eukaryota; Viridiplantae; Streptophyta; Magnoliopsida; Brassicales; Caricaceae
Gene name: zinc finger CCCH domain-containing protein 55-like
Source: RefSeq, a predicted model, not a curated record